GCAGUCGAGCGAGCUUGCCUAGAUGAUUUUAGUGCUUGCACUAAAUGAAACUAGAUACAAGCGAGCGGCGGACGGGUGAGUAACACGUGGGUAACCUGCCCAAGAGACUGGGAUAACACCUGGAAACAGAUGCUAAUACCGGAUAACAACACUAGACGCAUGUCUAGAGUUUGAAAGAUGGUUCUGCUAUCACUCUUGGAUGGACCUGCGGUGCAUUAGCUAGUUGGUAAGGUAACGGCUUACCAAGGCAAUGAUGCAUAGCCGAGUUGAGAGACUGAUCGGCCACAUUGGGACUGAGACACGGCCCAAACUCCUACGGGAGGCAGCAGUAGGGAAUCUUCCACAAUGGACGAAAGUCUGAUGGAGCAACGCCGCGUGAGUGAAGAAGGGUUUCGGCUCGUAAAGCUCUGUUGGUAGUGAAGAAAGAUAGAGGUAGUAACUGGCCUUUAUUUGACGGUAAUUACUUAGAAAGUCACGGCUAACUACGUGCCAGCAGCCGCGGUAAUACGUAGGUGGCAAGCGUUGUCCGGAUUUAUUGGGCGUAAAGCGAGUGCAGGCGGUUCAAUAAGUCUGAUGUGAAAGCCUUCGGCUCAACCGGAGAAUUGCAUCAGAAACUGUUGAACUUGAGUGCAGGAGAGGAGAGUGGAACUCCAUGUGUAGCGGUGGAAUGCGUAGAUAUAUGGAAGAACACCAGUGGCGAAGGCGGCUCUCUGGUCUGCAACUGACGCUGAGGCUCGAAAGCAUGGGUAGCGAACAGGAUUAGAUACCCUGGUAGUCCAUGCCGUAAACGAUGAGUGCU
This 799-nucleotide ribosomal RNA is filed under the name uncultured bacterium. RNAcentral describes it as "bacterial SSU rRNA". It matches the Rfam family "Bacterial small subunit ribosomal RNA", at positions 57 to 817 of the family's 1533-position model. The record is from RNAcentral.